This 253-nucleotide ribosomal RNA is filed under the name uncultured bacterium. RNAcentral describes it as "partial 16S ribosomal RNA". It matches the Rfam family "Bacterial small subunit ribosomal RNA", at positions 524 to 776 of the family's 1533-position model. The record is from RNAcentral.
UACGAAGGUCCCAAGCGUUAUCCGGAUUUAUUGGGCUUAAAGGGUGCGUAGGCGGGUUAUUAAGUCAGUGGUGAAAGCCUUCAGCUCAACUGAAGAACUGCCAUUGAUACUGAUGAUCUUGAGUACGAUUGAGGUAGGCGGAAUGUGUCAUGUAGCGGUGAAAUGCUUAGAUAUGACACAGAACACCGAUUGCGAAGGCAGCUUACUAAGUCGUAACUGACGCUGAUGCACGAAAGCGUGGGGAGCAAACAGG